Molecule: ribosomal RNA, 429 nt
Filed under: Salmonella enterica subsp. enterica serovar Infantis
Lineage: Bacteria; Pseudomonadati; Pseudomonadota; Gammaproteobacteria; Enterobacterales; Enterobacteriaceae
Description: bacterial SSU rRNA
Rfam family: Bacterial small subunit ribosomal RNA
Source: RNAcentral
ACCCGCAGAAGAAGCACCGGCUAACUCCGUGCCAGCAGCCGCGGUAAUACGGAGGGUGCAAGCGUUAAUCGGAAUUACUGGGCGUAAAGCGCACGCAGGCGGUCUGUCAAGUCGGAUGCGAAAUCCCCGGGCUCAACCUGGGAACUGCAUUGGAAACUGGCAGGCUUGAGUACUGAAGAGGGUGGUAGAAUUCCAUGUUUGGCGGUGAAAUCCGUAGAGAUCUGGAGGAAUUCCGGUGGCGAGGGCGACCCCCGGGACAAAGGCUGUGGCUCAGGUGCGAAGGGGUGGGGAGCAAGCAGGAUUAGGUACCAGGGUAGUGCACGCCGUAAACGAUGGCGACUUGGAGGUUAUGCCCUUGAGACGUGGCUUCCGGAGCUAACGCGUUAAGUGGACCGCCUGGGGAGUACGGCCGCGAGGUUAAAACUCAAA